CUUCAUUUGCUAUUACAAAAAAAAAAAAUACUUUUUCUACGGUAAUAAACUAAUUAUGAUAUAUUUUUUACGAUCUCAUCAAAAAAUAUAAAAAUAUAUUUCUAAAAAAUAGAACUUUAUUUUAUCUAAUAAAAUCAGAUGAGUCUCAAUACCAAACUAAGCCCAACUAUAUUUAUUGAAAUGACGUUUCUAACUAACUAGAUAUUUUUCUUUGAGUUUAUUCGUCGCAUGAUAGUUAUUAGAAAUAUAUUUUUAUUAUAUAUAUUUUUUUUCACUAUCCUAUUCCAUAGUAGAUACUUUAGGUAAAAAUAAAAUUAAAAUUACAUU
RNAcentral lists this long non-coding RNA (327 nucleotides) under Ananas comosus (pineapple). RNAcentral's name for it is "long non-coding RNA (ACOM_LNC016005)". The record is from RNAcentral. Lineage: Eukaryota; Viridiplantae; Streptophyta; Magnoliopsida; Poales; Bromeliaceae.